UACGAAGGGGGCUAGCGUUGCUCGGAAUUAUUGGGCGUAAAGCGCACGUAGGCGGCUUUGUAAGUCGGAUGUGAAAUCCCUCGGCUUAACCAAGGAAGUGCAUCCGAAACUACAGAGCUUGAGUACUUAAGAGGAUCGCGGAAUUCCCGGUGUAGAGGUGAAAUUCGUAGAUAUCGGGAGGAACACCAGCGGCGAAGGCGGCGACCUGGGUAGAUACUGACGCUGAGGUGCGAAAGCGUGGGGAGCAAACAGG
Molecule: ribosomal RNA, 253 nt
Filed under: uncultured bacterium
Lineage: Bacteria
Description: partial 16S ribosomal RNA
Rfam family: Bacterial small subunit ribosomal RNA
Source: RNAcentral